RNAcentral lists this ribosomal RNA (491 nucleotides) under uncultured bacterium. RNAcentral describes it as "partial 16S ribosomal RNA". It matches the Rfam family "Bacterial small subunit ribosomal RNA", at positions 28 to 507 of the family's 1533-position model. The record is from RNAcentral.
GAUGAACGCUGGCUACAGGCUUAACACAUGCAAGUCGAGGGGAAACGACGGGGAAGCUUGCUUCCCCGGGCGUCGACCGGCGCACGGGUGAGUAACGCGUAUCCAACCUGCCUCUGACUGAGGGAUAACCCGUCGAAAGUCGGCCUAAUACCUCAUGGCAUCGUCUGCGGGCAUCCAACGACGAUUAAAGAUUUCAUCGGUCAGAGAUGGGGAUGCGUCUGAUUAGCUUGUUGGCGGGGUAACGGCCCACCAAGGCGACGAUCAGUAGGGGUUCUGAGAGGAAGGUCCCCCACAUUGGAACUGAGACACGAUCCAAACUCCUACGGGAGGCAGCAGUGAGGAAUAUUGGUCAAUGGGCGAGAGCCUGAACCAGCCAAGUAGCGUGCAGGAUGACGGCCCUAUGGGUUGUAAACUGCUUUUAUGCGGGGAUAAAGUGAGGGACGUGUCCUUCAUUGCAGGUACCGCAUGAAUAAGGACCGGCUAAUUCCGUG